This 437-nucleotide ribosomal RNA is filed under the name uncultured bacterium. RNAcentral describes it as "partial 16S ribosomal RNA". It matches the Rfam family "Bacterial small subunit ribosomal RNA", at positions 29 to 507 of the family's 1533-position model. The record is from RNAcentral.
AGCGAACGCUGGCGGCAGGCUUAACACAUGCAAGUCGAGCGGGCAUUCUAGUGGUGUUAGCGGCAGACGGGUGAGUAAUGUGAGUGAACGUGCCCCUCGUGUCUGAAUAACGCAGGGAAACUUGAGCUAAUACCGGAUACGUGCGAGAGCAGAAAGGUUUAUCUGCCGAAGGAUCGGCCCGCGUCUGAUUAGCUAGUUGGUGAGGGUAUGGCUCACCAAGGCGACGAUCAGUAGCUGGUCUGAGAGGAUGAUCAGCCACCCUGGGACUGAGACACGGCCCAGACUCCUACGGGAGGCAGCAGUGGGGAAUAUUGGACAAUGGAGGCAACCCUGAUCCAGCCAUGCCGCGUGAGUGAUGAAGGCCUUAGGGUUGUAAAGCUCUUUUCGCCGGGACGAUAAUGACGGUACCGGACGAAUAAGCCCCGGCUAACUUCGUG